RNAcentral lists this ribosomal RNA (253 nucleotides) under uncultured bacterium. Its description in RNAcentral is "partial 16S ribosomal RNA". It matches the Rfam family "Bacterial small subunit ribosomal RNA", at positions 524 to 776 of the family's 1533-position model. The record is from RNAcentral.
GACGGAGGGUGCUAGCGUUGUUCGGAAUCACUGGGCGUAAAGGGCGCGUAGGCGGCCUGGAAAGUCAGAUGUGAAAGCCCGGGGCUCAACCCCGGAAUUGCAUUUGAGACUCCCUGGCUGGAGGUCGAGGGAGGAGAGUGGAAUACCCAGUGUAGAGGUGAAAUUCGUAGAUAUUGGGUGGAACACCAGUGGCGAAAGCGGCUCUCUGGCUCGAAUCUGACGCUGAGGCGCGAAAGCGUGGGGAGCAAACAGG